CUGGUGUUACAAAUGUGUAUUGACUAAAGUAAUCGCUUACUAUCAGAGUAAAUGGUACCCAUGCGUCAUUUUCUCUAAUGUAUUCGUAGUGUGAAUCCAAUCAACAUAAAUUGAGCGACGGACAAACCGACAGAUGCCGUGUAAUCGCUCCUGCGACGGUUUUUCUCCCGCCCUAAUGUACGGUGAUCGAAUCUGAUUAAAAUAUGCUAUCUGUAUGUGGAUACGAUUUUUGUUAUUUUUUAAUAUUACGAAUGAAAAUAAAAAUUUAGUUGAGAAUUAGAAUAUUAUGUUAUGGGGUUG
Molecule: unclassified non-coding RNA, 300 nt
Filed under: Melitaea cinxia (Glanville fritillary)
Lineage: Eukaryota; Metazoa; Arthropoda; Insecta; Lepidoptera; Nymphalidae
Description: misc RNA ENSMCXG00005011488.1
Source: RNAcentral